CUCCGCCUGCGGAGAAGGGGGAGAGAUGAGACUAGAGAACCAAAUGCCACGUGCCACAUGCCAGCCAGCUGAGUGUACUGUUGAGGGCACAGGCUGCCCUCUGGGGGCUCUGGAGCCAGGCUGCCUGUCUCUGAAAGCGGACUCUGCCCCCUGCUGUGUGUGAUUUUACCUUGAGUAUCAUCCUAACCCCUUCAUCUGUAAAGUGGAAACACUACAAGUAUCUUCUCAGCCCAGACAUCAUGAAGAUUGAAGCAUAUGUGCUCACGAAAUACACUAAUCAGUGAGGAGUGGAUGUAGAGACACUGAUGUUCUCCAGUUGGCCAGCUCAGUGGCUACCAUGUCAUCCUGUCUCAUAUUUCUUACAUGUUCCAAGAGAUGAGGAAUUCCAUUCUAUCAUUCUAUCAAAACAGAAUUCAUCAACUUUCCCAAAUGGACUUAGAAGACCCAGAUUUAGAACUAAAAGGAAAAGUAGGAGAUAUUGAGAAGAGGAAAUCCUGGAAAGCAGGAUAAAUACUCCAGAAAAGCCGUCAGGAGACCAUCCCAGCAGAGGUGCCGGAAAAGCUCAGACAGCUGUGGUGGACACAGGAACUCUGUACCGUCCAGGUUUGCUGUGAACUGAAAAUGACUAUAAAAAUUCUUAACUAAAACUCAAUGAAUUUUGAUCUUAAAGAAUUGACAUCACAAGGGGGAACUGUAGGAACAUGUUUCAAAUGUUCUAAAGGACAGGAAACCAUAGUUCCCUGAAGUCUGACCGAAGCUGCAGGAAGUAAAUCCAUAGCACAAACACUGUGUUGUAGCACACUUGAGGACUGCAGGCCGUGUGGAUUCCGGGGAACCCGCAGGAAAGAAGCUACGGAUGACUGACAUCUCAGUAGAAAGUAAGGUAGUCAAUCUAUCGUUGUUUAAAAAUACACCCCAUUUUUAGAACAGUUCAGUGUUCCCAACUCCUGCAUCCUAGCUUAUUGCCUUUUCAGUCCGUGAAGGUUUUGGGGGGGUCCGUGUUCCUGGUGUCUACCCAGUCUGUUGUGGCGCCUAUAAACAAAGGCACUUCUGGCCUUCCUUCACCAUCAGUCUGCAUCCGGUCCCUUCCUCCACCAUCAGUCUGCAUCCGGUCCCUUCCUCCACCAUCAGUCUGCAUCCGGUCCCUUCCUCCACCAUCAGUCUGCAUCCGGUCCCUU
Long non-coding RNA from Peromyscus eremicus (cactus mouse), 1178 nucleotides. RefSeq lists it as uncharacterized. Lineage: Eukaryota; Metazoa; Chordata; Mammalia; Rodentia; Cricetidae. The record is from RefSeq and is a predicted model, not a curated record. The transcript is spliced from 3 exons.